GAGCCUGGCUUUGAACUCAUGAUCCUCCUGCCUCUGCCUCCUGAGUCCCUGGGAUUCUAGGUGUGCACCAUCGUGCUCAGCUUCUAAUUGGAUUCUUAACCACACAUUCUUACAGAUUUUACAUUUAGGAAGAACUAUUAUUAUCUUCCAAAGUUUCAGGAUCUUAAGACAAGUGUCUCUUGGGUUCCUCCCAUUAACAUUAUCUUGAGUCUGCAUUUUUCCUGCAGUUAACAGGUAAUUUGCUGAGGAAUGUGAAAUAUCCUGUCCAUUUAGUCCAGGCAGGGCUGCAGGCCAAUUGCUUCUUGGAAAAUAAAACAUGUUGGGGGUUAGCACAGUGGGCCCAUUGUAGAGAAUUAUUCCCUCAACUUUGUGUUCCCAUCAUUCUCAUAUGUCUGUUCCCUAAUGAGAAGAAUUAUUUUUAAAACUUUCACUUAAUAAACUCAAAGUAUCAAAGAAAAAUGUACAUUGAAGUGUCAGAAAGCUUUAGCUAUCACUUGUAUAAGACAUACUAGGAAGGCAUAUACCUAACACAUGGAACUCUGAGUACUUCCUUAGGCAACUGCAUAUAGUUUACUAUUGCAAUGUUCAUUUUCUUUAUUUUUGAAAACUAAUUUUAAACUUCAGAAAAUAUCUUGAUGAAUAUAAGCACAAAGAUUGAGGACUUACACACAUAUUUCUAGUACACUUAUCUACGUAGCACUGAGAAAAUUGUUUCCCUUUAGUUCAAUUAGAUUCUUAAUUUAGAAACAAUUUUGUCAUUUUACCUAAUGAUUUCCUUCUCAUUUGGGUGACAAUGUUUUAAUCUCAGACUAGGAGGCCUCUAAUUGUGGUUGUUAGCACUUCCAUAUUUCUUCAUUAAGGGUUUGCAAUUCAUUCUCUUUAAGGCAUAUAAUGUUGAAGCAUAGAAAUGCAAAUUAUUAGUCUUGUGUUUAAAUUGUCAAGUAAAAAAGUGAGUGAAAGUAUUUCUAUUAUAUAUUCUUAACUACUUCCAUCUCUUCUUUUAAAUUAUUUUUAUAUAAUAAAUAUUUGCAAGCUCCUAACAUGAACCCAAAGUAGUAGGAGAUAUAAAGAGGAAAAUUCAUAUUCAAACUUCUUUCAGUUGACUUGCAGAAACAAGGAUCAGUGUUGUUCCUCUGAAUUGUACCAAAGAAAUGGAAGAAUGCUGGAAAGUCCUUUCCAUUAGUGCCAUACAUUGAAUGAAUAUAUAACUCAAAUAUUUGUUUACAUUUGUGUCUAUCAUCAUUCCAGAUUUAGAGGAUAAACAAAUACAUGUUUACCUCUAUACCGGCUGGAUUACUAUGAUGAUAUUUAAGAUUUGGAAUAAAGAAAUGAUUACACAUAUUGUGUUCUGUACAUUUUCUCACAUUGUGUCAUAUUUAUUUUUAUGUAUGACACAAUAUACAUAUAUGUAAAUAUAAGCAAUGUAUAUGUAAUAAACAGACUUAAAUACAUAUUUCCCAUGCACACAUAGUAGGUUUAUUAAACUACAUGCACUUUUUAAACCUUUUCACCUUCAUUAUUGAAAGUCCUUUCAGACACCAGGCAUAUGUGUAUUUACAUGACAAUUUCCCAAUAGUUGAAGGACUACAGCUUUAAUCUUCCUUUUCCUGUUCAGUAUGAGCCACUACAUUUUCAGUGACAGAGGCCAAAGCAGAUAUCUGGCUCAUUCACACCUAAUGGAUUCAGAGUUUUCUUUCCCAACCCUACCAAAUGUUCAUUUUAUUAGAGGACUCCACUGCAUACCAGCGAAACCUCUGCCCAAAGUAAACCUAUUGCCAUUUAGUUAUUUCUAUCUUUCUUACAUUUUCAUCAGGUAUGAUUCUCUCUUUCUGGCUCAAAUGACUCACUCACAGUGACAGAAUUACCUGAAAUGGAGCAAAGAUACCUGUAAGUUGGAAUUCUUGCAUGUCUAUACCAUCACAAGUAUGUGAAUUUUAUUUUUGUCUACAGAAGAAUAGGGACUUUUGAGGAUAGGGUCAAUUAAAUGAAGAUCUUUUUUUAUUCUACACGUAAGAAAAUACCAGUCAUUCUCUGAAAGAAUAUUGAGAAGGGACUAGCAUGUACCACAACAAAGUGCUGAAUAUACAGAAAAACAAUGUAUCACAACCUCUACCCCAAACACCCUUUCAUUCUGCAUUGAAAGUUAGAUUGUGAGCAAGAAAGAGAAAUUGUGUGGGAAAUGUUAUAACAAGGAAAGGCAGGAAGUGUUUCCUGUUUACACCACUAAUAUAGGUGUUCUCAGGAAAACUCCCUGAGAGGACAUGAGUCUCCAUACCACAGCUGCCUGACUGAAAGAAUAGAACAAAAAUGUAUGUUGCACACGUAUCAAGGAAUACAAAUUGCACGUUUUUAAUAAGUACCUAUUAAUUUGUACCACUUGUAUCUGUAGGCUGCCCUGAGUUUAUAAUUAUAAACAGAUCUAUAAGCAUAUAGAAUUAUAUUUCUU
This 2446-nucleotide long non-coding RNA is filed under the name Marmota monax (woodchuck). The record is from RNAcentral. Lineage: Eukaryota; Metazoa; Chordata; Mammalia; Rodentia; Sciuridae.